This 484-nucleotide ribosomal RNA is filed under the name uncultured bacterium. RNAcentral describes it as "partial 16S ribosomal RNA". It matches the Rfam family "Bacterial small subunit ribosomal RNA", at positions 30 to 507 of the family's 1533-position model. The record is from RNAcentral.
AUUGAACGCUGGCGGCAGGCCUAACACAUGCAAGUCGAGCGGAUGAAGGGAGCUUGCUCCUGGAUUCAGCGGCGGACGGGUGAGUAAUGCCUAGGAAUCUGCCUGGUAGUGGGGGAUAACGUCCGGAAACGGGCGCUAAUACCGCAUACGUCAUGAGGGAGAAAGUGGGGGAUCUUCGGACCUCACGCUAUCAGAUGAGCCUAGGUCGGAUUAGCUAGUUGGUGGGGUAAAGGCGUACCAAGGCGACGAUCCGUAACUGGUCUGAGAGGGUGAUCAGUCACACUGGAACUGAGACACGGUCCAGACUCCUACGGGAGGCAGCAGUGGGGAAUAUUGGACAAUGGGCGAAAGCCUGAUCCAGCCAUGCCGCGUGUGUGAAGAAGGUCUUCGGAUUGUAAAGCACUUUAAGUUGGGAGGAAGGGCAGUAAGUUAAUACCUGGCUGUUUUGACGUUACCAACAGAAUAAGCACCGGCUAACUUCGUG